CCUACGGGGAGCAGCAGUGGGGAAUAUUGCACAAUGGGGGAAACCCUGAUGCAGCGACGCCGCGUGGGUGACGAAGUAUUUCGGUAUGUAAAGCCCUAUCAGCAGGGAAGAAGAUGACAGUACCUGACCAAGAAGCCCCGGCUAACUACGUGCCAGCAGCCGCGGUAAUACGUAGGGGGCAAGCGUUAUCCGGAUUUACUGGGUGUAAAGGGAGCGUAGGUGGCAUGGCAAGCCAGAAGUGAAAACCCGGGGCUUAACCCCGCGGAUUGCUUUUGGAACUGUCAGGCUGGAGUGCAGGAGGGGCAGGCGGAAUUCCUGGUGUAGCGGUGAAAUGCGUAGAUAUCAGGAGGAACACCGGUGGCGAAGGCGGCCUGCUGGACUGUAACUGACACUGAGGCUCGAAAGCGUGGGGAGCAAACAGGAUUAGAUACCCCGGUAGUC
This 441-nucleotide ribosomal RNA is filed under the name uncultured bacterium. RNAcentral's name for it is "partial 16S ribosomal RNA". It matches the Rfam family "Bacterial small subunit ribosomal RNA", at positions 338 to 795 of the family's 1533-position model. The record is from RNAcentral.